Molecule: ribosomal RNA, 120 nt
Filed under: Periophthalmus magnuspinnatus
Lineage: Eukaryota; Metazoa; Chordata; Actinopteri; Gobiiformes; Gobiidae
Source: RNAcentral
UAAUAUGGCCGUAGUUCCUUGUCAAAGCCUGAUCUUAUCAGAUCUCUUUUGCUAAGUAGGGCUAGGUCUGCUUAGUACUUGGAUGGGAGUCCACUAGGAAUAUCAGGGGUACCACAGGGA